Molecule: ribosomal RNA, 164 nt
Filed under: uncultured bacterium
Lineage: Bacteria
Description: partial 16S ribosomal RNA
Rfam family: Bacterial small subunit ribosomal RNA
Source: RNAcentral
UGGGGAAUAUUGGACAAUGGGCGAAAGCCUGAUCCAGCCAUGCCGCGUGUGUGAAGAAGGUCUUCGGAUUGUAAAGCACUUUAAGUUGGGAGGAAGGGCAGUAAGCUAAUACCUUGCUGUUUUGACGGUACCGACAGAAUAAGCACCGGCUAACUCUGUGCCGG